Molecule: ribosomal RNA, 253 nt
Filed under: uncultured bacterium
Lineage: Bacteria
Description: partial 16S ribosomal RNA
Rfam family: Bacterial small subunit ribosomal RNA
Source: RNAcentral
UACGGGGGGGGCUAGCGUUGCUCGGAAUCACUGGGCGUAGAGGGUGCGUAGGCGGGUCUUUAAGUCAGGGGUGAAAUCCUGGAGCUCAACUCCAGAACUGCCUUUGAUACUGAAGAUCUUGAGUUCGGGAGAGGUGAGUGGAACUGCGAGUGUAGAGGUGAAAUUCGUAGAUAUUCGCAAGAACACCAGUGGCGAAGGCGGCUCACUGGCUCGAUACUGACGCUGAGGCACGAAAGCGUGGGGAGCAAACAGG